UCGAAUAGUUAAUCACACAAUGGUAACAAUCUGUUAGUUGGAAAUUCGAGUCCUUGGUAAUGGCUAACAGCAAUGGCAUCAAAUCCACCUCAGAGCUUAUUCCCUUGGGCUGUCACCCAUUUCGUGCUUUGAUGAAAGCUUCGAGAAGUCGACUACAUCAUCUUCUCAAGCCUCGUCAAUGAAACAGAGAGAGAGAGAGAGAGAGAGAAAUAGUGUCGAGUAUUCAAAAAAAGUGUACUGAUUCGAGAAAGGGAAGAACUUUUCAUUCGACUUGUCUCGGGAAUAUCGAAAUGCUUUCUACAAAUUCAUGCCACCAAACUGUUAUACUUUAUCUUAUUGUUAAGUUUAUAGAAAUAUUUGUGAUUUCAGGUAUUCGAUAUUUAUUUUGUUUUUAAUAUUCCUGACACACUAAAUGUAUGCACGAUAAAGUAUAUAUUGAUAUAUCGUCAUAUAUCAAGUAUGUUUGUCAAGGAUAAUCUUUAGAAAAAAAUAAAUGGAGUAUGAAAAGUUACCUCAGCAAGGUGUAAUCUCUUUCUCUCUCUCUCUCUUUCUUUCUGAACAAAGAACAUGUAACAUAUAUAUAUACAUGCAUGGCCUCGAACUAGGACGACAUCGUGAAACCACAAUCGGAACAAACCAACGCAACAAGCGAUUUUCUAAGACUCAACAUUCUAGAUUUCUAGAUUUUAAUGCGAUGACAAUGGUAUUGUUAGAAUAAAAUUGAUUGUUGAAUAAUGAAUGAUUUUGAGUGGCUUGAUUAUUAGUGGUACACUGUUGAAGUAUAUAUUACCUUGAGAGUAACCGAACACUGUACACCCUCCUACUACUCGUCGGAACAAUAUUGCUCUUCGCGUACUGUAGCUGAAUAAGCAGAUCAAAUAUUUGAUGGGGUGGCAGAGAGGAAAAAGAGAGAACGAGAGAGAGAGAGAGAAAGAGAGAGAUGGAAAGAAAGAUUAUUUAAAAUUACAUGUAUGUACACGAUAGUCCGUAAAUCAAUUGACAAAAGAGUAUUGUUAAUAUAUAUAUAUAUAUCAAUUUAAUUUAUAAAUAUUGAGUCAUGCAAACAAAAUUCCUUUUUGUCUUUCGACAUUAAAGUUUACAAAAGCUUUCAAAAUAGAAAUAAAAAAAUUGA
Long non-coding RNA from Polistes canadensis, 1132 nucleotides. RefSeq lists it as uncharacterized. The transcript is spliced from 3 exons. NCBI's taxonomy places the organism in Eukaryota, Metazoa, Arthropoda, Insecta, Hymenoptera, Vespidae. The record is from RefSeq and is a predicted model, not a curated record.